ACGAACGCUGGCGGCGUGCUUAACACAUGCAAGUCGAACGGAAAGGCCCCUUUGGGGGUACUCGAGUGGCGAACGGGUGAGUAACACGUGAGUAACCUGCCCUUGACUUCGGGAUAACUUCAGGAAACUGGGGCCAAUACCGGAUAGGAAUCCUUGCUGCAUGGUGGGGGUUGGAAAGCUUCGGCGGUUUUGGAUGGACUCGCGGCUUAUCAGCUUGUUGGUGGGGUAGUGGCUUACCAAGGCUUUGACGGGUAGCCGGCCUGGGAGGGCGACCGGCCACAUUGGGACUGAGAUACGGCCCAGACUCCUACGGGAGGCAGCAGUGGGGAAUAUUGCACAAUGGGCGGAAGCCUGAUGCAGCAACGCCGCGUGCGGGAUGACGGCCUUCGGGUUGUAAACCGAUUUCAGCAGGGGCGAAGCUUGUGGUGACGGUACCUGCAGAAGAAGCACCGGCUAACUACGUG
This 464-nucleotide ribosomal RNA is filed under the name uncultured bacterium. RNAcentral's name for it is "partial 16S ribosomal RNA". It matches the Rfam family "Bacterial small subunit ribosomal RNA", at positions 29 to 507 of the family's 1533-position model. The record is from RNAcentral.